Non-coding RNA from Myotis brandtii (Brandt's bat), 71 nucleotides. NCBI's taxonomy places the organism in Eukaryota, Metazoa, Chordata, Mammalia, Chiroptera, Vespertilionidae. The record is from Rfam.
GAUUGUGAGAGGAUGACACACCCUGGAAUCAGGCUCCCUCCUCUCUGGUUCUGGGGUCUGUCACCACUGCC